This is a small nuclear RNA of Mastomys coucha (southern multimammate mouse), 165 nucleotides long. RefSeq annotates it as U1 spliceosomal RNA. The record is from RefSeq and is a predicted model, not a curated record. The transcript has a single exon. NCBI's taxonomy places the organism in Eukaryota, Metazoa, Chordata, Mammalia, Rodentia, Muridae.
ACAACUACCUAGGAUGGAAGAAGUCAUGACCAUGAGUAAGGUCCCCUACCCAGGGUGAGGCUUAACCAUUGCACUCUGGGUAUGCAUACCACUGGUAUUUUCCUAAAAAAUGGAAAACUAUACUAUAUAAUUUUAUUAAUUCAGAAGUGAAUUCCCACUUUCUCC